GUUUUUUUUAACUCUUAUUCCAAACUUGAUCUAUAUGGAUUACUAAUUAUGAAAACCUAUUUGUAUUAAUUAAAAAUGAAAUAAUUAGACAAUUAUGUAAGCAAAGAGGAAGAAGAAAGAAGAACAUGAUAUAUAUGAUAAAUCGUCGAUAUUUUAUUUAGAGAUGAUAUGAAGCUUCUUUUCGACCUCCUUGAUCAAGCACCUCUUAAUAUUUUUCUGAAAGAAAGAAGGAAGAAAGAAAGAAAUAUUUAUUUUUCCCCCUCAAUUUGUUAUCUGUAGUUAUAAUUUUUGCAAAUUUUCCCUUUAUUUUUUUUUUUUUUUUUUUUUUGGAUUUUGAUAGUUAAAUAAUCGAUUUUGUAUAAAGGAGACUGCUAAUUGAGUAUUAGUGAGAAACCAUAAACACAGGAAACACUCAGAGAGAGAUGAAGGAGAAAGGGAUGGGAAGAGAGGAGAUUAGGAGAGCUAACAAUAGACGAGAAGUACACCCAGUGAAAAUCUUUAGUACCCAUUCUCUACGAUUGUCUUGCAAACUACAAUCUUGCUUGUCCUUCUCUUUCUUGCCAAUAUUACAACUCUUUCUCUCUUCUUUUCUUUCUUCUGUUUAAAUUAGAUGAAAUGUGUAUUGGGUUUUUUCAGGGGUUUAUGAAUUUUUGGAGUUUUGAAAUUUUAGUUGUAUUUUUGGGUAUAUUUGAGAUGAAAUUUUAGAUGUUAUUUCAUUCAGUUUGAAAUAUAGACUUACUUGUCAUGAAAUUUGGGUGUAUUUUUCCAGAUAUGUUAUGUUGUUAAAAUGAGCAUUUUCCUAUCGAGUUCUCACUUUUAUUAUUGUUUGAUUUAAUGGUGGGUGUUUCGAAUAUUUUCUUAUAGGUUGAUUAAUACAAUCUCCUGAUUAAAAUUUCAUAUAGAAUUUUCACUUUAUAAAAAUUAUUAAUACAGCUAAUUUCAAUUAGGAAACUAAUGUCACCUUUAUAAGAGAGGUCCAACAGUAAACUUUCAAUGGCUUCAAAGUACUUGUGUAUGUGUUUUUUGAGGCGGCAUCUCGGGGCAUUGGUAGAAUGAUUUAUGUUGAUUUUAAUGGUCAAAAUAAUCAAUGUCAUGUUUAUUUGGUUUAUUUUGAGUUUUUGAUGGAACUUUAACAUAAAGGUGUUUUUGUCAGUUUUGUUCUUUCUUAAGGUAUAUUUGAGCAAAGUUGAAAUUUUUGCUAAUUGAGAAUUUUUUGAUGAUUUAACUAAAUUUAUGUGUUUAAUCCAUUAAUUUAGAAUAAAGUCUAGGUAUAGUUUUCUUAGGUUUAUUUCAUCAAUUUACUUACAUAAUACUAAUCAAGAAAACCUAUUCCUAUAAAUGACCCUAGCCAAAACUAGCCCAAACCUCCUCGGUUGCCAACUGCCACCCGUAAAUAUAAGAAGGAUACUACACUUUUAUUUUAAAUGAUUAAUAAUAAGUCAAAGUGAAAACAAUGCUAGAUAAGUCUUUAGUUUUAUAGAGAUGAAUUGAGAUUAUGCACGGGAAAUUAUUUUGUAUGAAAUUUUUUGCUUUAUUGUAUUAGAUAUUAUUGUCACAAGAGAAAUAUUUGAGGUACAUUUUAGGGGUUGAUCACUUCAGACUUGUGAGUUUGUUUAGGGAUUGUUAACAGAUGUUUUUUCAUAGGUAUUUAACUCCCUAUAGCAUCUUUUUGGGGGCUAAAUCUGCUAGGGUUUAUAUAUAGUGUCUGUUUCGUAGGUGUUUUGAGGGCUUCUUGUUGCUGAUGUUUUAAGGAAUGGUUACAGGUGUAUUAAGUGUGUUUAAGAACUGAUUUUCGUGGGUUUGGGUAGGGGUGAAAGUAAAUUGGAUAAAAACCGAAAACCGAACCAAUCCAAACCGAAUAAGCAAUUCGGUUCGGUUUUUUUCGGUUUUCGGAUUGGAUCGGUUUGAAAAAAUGGGAACCGAAAUAUUUCGGUGUGGAUUCGGUUUUGGAAUUUGAAAACCGAAAACCGAACACCGAACCGAAAUUUAUAAGCCCACUAAUCCAGCCCUUUUUAUGACAUAUAUAUACCCAAAACCCUAGAUCUUUUCGUCCCCUCUUUUCCUAUUUCCCUUUCACAGUUUCACUUUCCCUCACCAAAACCCUAGAUUUUCCCUCCUCUCUCCCUCACCACCUCACUCCGUCCGUCCACCACCAGUCUGGUACUUCGGUAUCUCACCGCCGCUCAACGCUCACCAGUUACCACCGCGUUCGAUUAAGUGAAAGACUAGAAAUUUGACACAAUUGGUGGUGGUCAAAAUAACCAAGACUUGGUUGAGCUUGAUUGAACGGUUGAAGAGUUAAAGCUGCCAGCCAAUUAAGCUGCUGCCAUUGUUUCAUUAAGCUGCUGCCAAUUGAAUUAAGUUGCUGCUAGUUGGACUGCUAUUUCAUUUUUAAGAUUUCUAUUAUGUCUGUAAUUUUAUUCUAAUGGCUGGAAUGUUUUUUUUUU
Chenopodium quinoa (quinoa) is the source of this 2447-nucleotide long non-coding RNA. RefSeq lists it as uncharacterized. Lineage: Eukaryota; Viridiplantae; Streptophyta; Magnoliopsida; Caryophyllales; Amaranthaceae. The transcript is spliced from 2 exons. The record is from RefSeq and is a predicted model, not a curated record.